UGGCGGCAGGCUUAACACAUGCAAGUCGAGCGGUAGCAGAUCUAGCUUGCUAGAUGCUGACGAGCGGCGGACGGGUGAGUAACGCGUAGGAACCUGCCCAGUAGUGGGGGAUAGCCCGGGGAAACUCGGAUUAAUACCGCAUACGCUCUACGAGAAAAGAGGGGGCUUCGGCUCUCGCUAUUGGAUGGGCCUGCGUGAGAUUAGCUAGUUGGUGAGGUAAUGGCUCACCAAGGCGACGAUCUCUAGCUGGUCUGAGAGGAUGAUCAGCCACACUGGGACUGAGACACGGCCCAGACUCCUACGGGAGGCAGCAGUGGGGAAUAUUGCACAAUGGGCGCAAGCCUGAUGCAGCCAUGCCGCGUGUGUGAAGAAGGCUUUCGGGUUGUAAAGCACUUUCAGUGGGGAGGAAGGCCUCGUAGUUAAUAGCUGCGAGGAUUGACGUUACCCACAGAAGAAGCACCGGCUAACUCCGUG
This 474-nucleotide ribosomal RNA is filed under the name uncultured bacterium. RNAcentral's name for it is "bacterial SSU rRNA". It matches the Rfam family "Bacterial small subunit ribosomal RNA", at positions 37 to 507 of the family's 1533-position model. The record is from RNAcentral.